CCACAGGUGGAAAAGGAGGGAGCUACUUUCAGGCUGCGUCCAGCGACAGUGCCCAGGGAUCUGAUGUGUCUCUCAUGGCUUGAAAAGCCUGAGACAAUUGUCUUGUGUGGAACUGAGAAGCAGGAUUUCUUUAUGCCUCCCUUUUGAAGAGACUUUGGCAUUUCUUCUGCAAAGGCAUCUGAAUGUGUCUGUGUCCCUGUUAGCAUAAUGUGAGGAGGUGGAGAGACAGCCCACCCCCGUGUCCACUGUGACCCCUGUUCCCACGCUGACCUGUGUUUCCUCCCCAGUCAUCUGUCCUGUUCCAGAGAGGUGGGGCUGGAUGUUUUCCAUCUCAGUCUCAACUUUAUGUGCACCGAGCUGCAACUUCUUACUUCCCUACGGAAGAUAAAAAUCUGAAUAUAAAUUUGUUUUCUCAAAUAUCUGCUAUGAGAGGUUGAUGGACUAAUUAAAUAAAUCAAUUCCUAGAAUUUGAGAGAGCAAAUAAAGACCUGAGAACCUUCCAGAAUCCACAUGUUCACUGUGCUGAAUCUGUUCCAGGUGGGGGUGGAGAAAGCUGUGAGGAGCCCAGUGUGGACUGGGCCUGUGCCUAGUUGCUGUUCAGUUCUUCAUGGACUUUGUGUGGUCAGUGCUCGACUGGGUCACCUUCACUGCUCCACUGUCCUUGUCCCUUCGGUGGAAACUUGUCCAGUGGGAGCUGUGACCACAGAGGCUCAGACAUUACCGAGGGCAGCCCCUGCACACGGGGGUCUCUGUGUAUUCUGAGACAAAUUUUCAGAGCCAUUCACCUCCUGCCCUGCUUCUAGAGCUUCUGUUCUGCUCUGCUCUCCUGCCCUCUCUCCCUGCCCUGGUUCUAGUGAUCUUGGUGCUGAAUCCAAUCCCAACUCAUGAAUCUAUAAAGCGGAGUCUAAUUUAGACUUAUGUUUGUGAAAUUGGA
Long non-coding RNA from Piliocolobus tephrosceles (Ugandan red Colobus), 934 nucleotides. RefSeq lists it as uncharacterized. The transcript has 3 exons. The record is from RefSeq and is a predicted model, not a curated record. Lineage: Eukaryota; Metazoa; Chordata; Mammalia; Primates; Cercopithecidae.